RNAcentral lists this ribosomal RNA (538 nucleotides) under uncultured bacterium. Its description in RNAcentral is "bacterial SSU rRNA". It matches the Rfam family "Bacterial small subunit ribosomal RNA", at positions 8 to 526 of the family's 1533-position model. The record is from RNAcentral.
AGAGUUUGAUCCUGGCUCAGAACGAACGUUAGCGGCGCGCCUAACACAUGCAAGUCGCACGCGAAAGGGCUUCGGCCCCGGUAGAGUGGCGCACGGGUGAGUAACACGUGGGUAACCUGCCCUCGAGCGGGGGAUAACAUUCCGAAAGGAGUGCUAAUACCGCAUAAGACCACGAUCUCGAAAGAGGACGCGGUAAAAGCUGGCCUCUGUAUACAAGCUAGCACUUGAGGAUGGGCCCGCGGCGCAUCAGCUAGUUGGUGGGGUAAUGGCUCACCAAGGCUAAGACGCGUAGCUGGUCUGAGAGGAUGAUCAGCCACACUGGAGCUGAGACACGGUCCAGACUCCUACGGGAGGCAGCAGUGGGGAAUCUUGCGCAAUGGGCGAAAGCCUGACGCAGCGACGCCGCGUGAGUGAUGAAGGCCUUCGGGUUGUAAAGCUCUGUGGGGAGAGACGAAUAAGUGCAAGCUAAUACCUUGCAUGAUGACGGUAUCUCCUUAGCAAGCACCGGCUAACUCUGUGCCAGCCGCCGCGGUAAUUC